CCUUGUCGUGAUAUGUGACGGGGUCCUGAUCUUCAUGACGUCGGAUCAAACACCAGAUAACUAGCUUGAGAGAAGCCAAGAUUAAUUGCUACAAGUAGUGAUAACUAGUGCAACCUGAUAAAUAAAACUCGAAGCCAACCACCGUCUUUAACCGGCAAACUGAAUCAAGGAUUCACCCAACCACACUCUCAAAGAACCAUCCAACACAACCUACAAUCAAUCAACUUGAAGGGAGUAGGAGCACCAAUUGGGAGCAGAUGAAGCCGCCACUUCUGUAAUCCGACGAGUUAAUCACAAGAGCAAAGGGGCAAGAGCAAAGGGGCAGAGAUCACUUUCUAAAUAUUUGUUAGCACACAACUUAGCAAAGGGGUUAUAUAUUUCGAUUAUCAAAAGUCUGCGAUUCCUAUGUAGCACACUACUAAAAAACUUAACUGUGACGGGCAUUUU
Molecule: long non-coding RNA, 447 nt
Filed under: Sorghum bicolor (sorghum)
Lineage: Eukaryota; Viridiplantae; Streptophyta; Magnoliopsida; Poales; Poaceae
Description: long non-coding RNA (SBIC_LNC011665)
Source: RNAcentral